Non-coding RNA from Chinchilla lanigera (long-tailed chinchilla), 68 nucleotides. The record is from Ensembl. Lineage: Eukaryota; Metazoa; Chordata; Mammalia; Rodentia; Chinchillidae.
GCCUUUGUAGUAUAAAAAUUACUCUGGUUUUGUAAACCAGGAAUGGAGACACCACUCUCCCAAAGACA